This 1744-nucleotide unclassified non-coding RNA is filed under the name Hevea brasiliensis (rubber tree). The record is from RNAcentral. Lineage: Eukaryota; Viridiplantae; Streptophyta; Magnoliopsida; Malpighiales; Euphorbiaceae.
GCAGCCUCCAACAACAAUUAGGCUUCUUUCUUCUAAUCUUACCAACCCUCUUCUGUUUCACUCACUAUAUAUAAAAACAUAUUUAUUCCAUCGCCCAAAUGAAGUUUCAUCGUCCACUUGAAAACCCAACUUUGAAAUUGCUUAUAGAACCCACCAAAUGACUGCUGCUUCAUCUUCUUCUCUAUUGGGUUCAUCAAGAAUUGGUUCAGGACCUACCAUUUCUGGACUUCAUUCAGAUUCACUCAACCCCACAUCAAUCUCCUUCUCUUCUAACCUACAAGGUCUCUCUCUAAGAUCUUCAGGGGCAAAGAGACAGCUAUACUCACGUGGAACAGGUUCAGUUGUCAUAGCACAGAACAUGGACAGAGUUGAGGUUGAUCUCUCUCUCAGCCCCAGGGUAAAUUCAGUAAAGCCUUCAAAAACGGUUGCUAUAACUGAUCAGGCAACUGCCCUCGUGCAAGCUGGUGUACCUGUUAUUAGAUUAGCAGCUGGUGAACCUGAUUUUGAUACUCCAGCCCCAAUAGCAGAGGCUGGCAUAAAUGCAAUUCGUGAAGGUCAUACCAGGUAUACACCAAAUGCAGGUACAAUGGAACUUCGGUCGGCUAUUUGUCAUAAAUUAAAAGAGGAGAAUGGGUUAUCAUACACUCCUGAUCAGAUUGUGGUAAGCAAUGGGGCAAAACAAAGUAUUGUUCAGGCAGUGCUUGCAGUUUGUUCUCCAGGGGAUGAGGUUCUUAUUCCAGCUCCCUAUUGGGUGAGUUACCCUGAAAUGGCAAGGAUGGCAGAUGCAAUGCCUGUGAUUCUUCCGACCAGCAUAUCCGAAGAUUUUCUAUUAGAUCCAAAGCUUCUUGAAUCUAAACUGACUGAAAAGUCAAGACUUCUGAUUCUUUGUUCUCCAUCCAACCCAACAGGGUCUGUUUACCCUCGGAAAUUGCUUGAGGAGAUUGCUGAGAUUGUGGCUAGGCAUCCGAGGCUUCUUGUGAUAUCAGAUGAAAUUUACGAACACAUUAUUUAUGCACCAGCAACUCAUACCAGCUUUGCAUCUUUGCCUGGUAUGUGGGAUAGGACUCUCACUGUAAAUGGUUUCUCUAAGGCCUUUGCGAUGACUGGUUGGAGACUUGGCUAUAUUGCUGGUCCUAAACACUUUGUUUCUGCAUGUAAUAAGUUACAGAGCCAGUUCACGUCAGGUGCAAGUAGCAUCUCACAAAAAGCAGCUGUGGCUGCUUUGGGACUGGGCUAUGCUGGUGGAGAAGCAGUUGCAACUAUGGUAAAAGCAUUUCGUGAGCGGCGAGAUUUCCUUGUCAAGAGCUUUGGGGAAAUUGAUGGUGUCAAAAUUUCAGAGCCUCGGGGAGCAUUUUAUCUAUUUAUUGAUUUAAGCUCUUAUUACGGAGUAGAGGUUGAUGGAUUUGGCACCAUCAACAACUCAGAAUCUCUUUGCCGAUAUUUGCUGGAUAAAUCUCAAGUUGCGCUUGUCCCCGGGGAUGCAUUUGGGGAUGACACAUGUAUCCGUAUCUCCUAUGCAGCAUCGCUUUCGACCUUGCAGGCAGCUGUGGAGAGAAUCAAGAAAGCAUUGGUUACUCUCAGACCUCCUGUCCCAGUGUAAAACAUGAAUUACUAAUAUUUGCUUAUUUGGGAUGUGCUACAGCCAAACAUGCAUAAAUAAUAUGUAGUCUGACCCAACCCUCCAUGUUCUCUCAUUUUAUGUAUUCUUAAGUGCAUUCCUGUACACUGACAUUGUUAAUUUGUG